This 1983-nucleotide long non-coding RNA is filed under the name Mus musculus (house mouse). RNAcentral's name for it is "long non-coding RNA chr2:68022937-68024920". The record is from RNAcentral. Lineage: Eukaryota; Metazoa; Chordata; Mammalia; Rodentia; Muridae.
AGAUUUUACUGAGUGUCACAGCAAAUGUGAGAAGAGUCUGACCAUAGCCAAGGUGCCUUUGGACCCCGUUUGUUUCCACUAAAGCCAUCUUCAACUGAGAAUCUUGUUACUUUUGCUAUGUCAUGUUGAAACCGUGACCUUAGUCCUCUCAGAACAGCAAUAUGCUUUCAGAAUUACCUAAUUUUCUCACCUAAUUCUCCUGUAAUUGAAUCAAUUUUUAAAUUUUUUUUCUAUCAAAUCUAUCCUUAAUAGGAUUGGUGGAGCAGGCACAACAUAUAUUUGAGGCCAUAUUACAUAGUUGGAUUCUCUUGGCUGUGUCUGGUGCUCUGGGCCAGGUACCUCUGGGAUCCCAGGCCAGCCUUAGCAGGAACAUUUCCACAUGUCUUUGAGAUCUGAGUCCUUGGAGCUACAGCCUCUAGAAGCACAAAUACCACACUGUGCAGGUGUGGGUAGUGGUGGGCACUAUUAGCCUUCAUCCUACAGUGUUUCCCAUCCCUCAUCAAGGCUCGGCAAGGAAGAGUCAAAUCCAAAUCCCAUAAAUCUCAAGAUCCUCUUUGUGGUGGCUUCAAGCUUUCGUUCCCAUCAUCAUAAAGUUUAUGUACAGUAAAAAUUGCUUUCUGCUGUAGGUUUUUAUAGCAAGUGACAAACGCGUACACCUGCAUAAUGACAACCACUAUUAAUACACCAAGGGUUUCUGUCAUCACAGCCCUACAUACUACCACACAGCUCAUUCAGUCAGAGUCUGAAUCCUUGAUGAAUAGAAAACUACCAUCUUCCUCUUUAAAUUUGUCAUUUCCGGAAUAUCAUGGCCACAGUGUGGUUACUGGAUAUACUCCAAAGGCCUAUGUAUUGAGAGAUCUACCCCGGCCUGUGGUGCCAUUGGAAGGUGGCAGAACAUUCCCAAGGCAGGGCCAAGUGGAAAGAAAGUAGAACCUUAGGGUAAUGCCCCAGAGGAGAGCCUAAAACUCCAGCCCUUCCUCUUCUUAUGUCUCUGACUUCCUGGGUCAUUUAUGAGGAAACCAGGCCUCCUCCACAUCCCUCUGAUAGGAUCAGUUGGGCUGCUACAGACUGAAAACAUCAGGGUAACAUAGCUAUAGACUGAAACCUCUAACAGUAUAAACCAUUGCCUCCCCAUGGCUCUUCAUUCCAUUAACAAGCUCUCGGAGGGAAAACAUAAAAAACAAAAAAAAAAAAAAAAAACAAAAAACAACAAACAAAAAAAACCUUUAACAACUCUUUUUCUUAUUGGAAGUCUUUACUGAGCACCAAGUCACAAAGAUUUUUCUAUUUUCCUCUAAAUGGUUUAGAGUUUUGAUAUCACCAAGUCCUCUUAACGGGGUCAUUACGUGUUUUUGCAUAUUCUGCGUGUCAGAAAGAGAAAGGGAAAAGUUACAGCAGCAGAGAAGACCUUUUGUUCCUCUGCUUGAUUUUUAGCUCCUUGGAGACAAUAGCUUCAUCUCACAGUGACGUCACUGUGUCCUGUGCUGUCCCCUCCUUGCCAAUUCUUUAUUAUUAACUGCUACUCUUUCUGAUACACCAGCUGCAUAUUUCAACACUGGGCCAUAAAACCAAAAUGGAUUUACAGUCAGCCUCCUCCCUUGUUUGAGCAUUGAUUUCAUUCAAGUUCCCUGGAGGUUCUAGACUAAAAACUAGGGGGAAAAAGCAUUCUGAGAUAGCUGUUUAAGGAUGGUGUAGCUGUAGGUGAAAGUGUCUUCCUAGUAGUUCAUGGAUGCUCGAAUUCUAAAGACCUAUUUUCUUCCCACCCGCCUCUUCUAUUUUUAUUAUUCUAAUGGAUAAAUACUUGUGGUUGAAGAUGACUGAUGUUUGCCUUAAUGUUUCUGGCCAGUGCCCUCUUUUGUAUCUUCCUUGGUGUCUGUACCUUUGACCUUUGAGGAAAGAGGACUAAGAUGACUCCAUGUGACCAUUUUCAAAGGACAUAAUACAUAAAUGUAGAGGAAGUGGAAGGGUCCUUUUGAAAAGGAC